UCCCUGGAGGACUAGUGGUUAGGCCACAGCGCUCUCACUGCUGCGGCCCGGGUUUGAUUCCUGGCCAGGGAA
RNAcentral lists this transfer RNA (72 nucleotides) under Pangasianodon gigas (Mekong giant catfish). RNAcentral describes it as "tRNA-Glu". It matches the Rfam family "tRNA". Rfam says of the family: Transfer RNA (tRNA) molecules are approximately 80 nucleotides in length. Their secondary structure includes four short double-helical elements and three loops (D, anti-codon, and T loops). Further hydrogen bonds mediate the characteristic L-shaped molecular structure. tRNAs have two regions of fundamental functional importance: the anti-codon, which is responsible for specific mRNA codon recognition, and the 3' end, to which the tRNAs corresponding amino acid is attached (by aminoacyl-tRNA synthetases). tRNAs cope with the degeneracy of the genetic code in two manners: having more than one tRNA (with a specific anti-codon) for a particular amino acid; and 'wobble' base-pairing, i.e. permitting non-standard base-pairing at the 3rd anti-codon position. The record is from RNAcentral. Lineage: Eukaryota; Metazoa; Chordata; Actinopteri; Siluriformes; Pangasiidae.